Molecule: long non-coding RNA, 2026 nt
Organism: Syngnathus typhle (broad-nosed pipefish)
Lineage: Eukaryota; Metazoa; Chordata; Actinopteri; Syngnathiformes; Syngnathidae
Exons: 3
Source: RefSeq, a predicted model, not a curated record
GACCGUGUGCAGCAUGACUUUGCUCAAGCAGUCCACCAUUCUGUCAUGGCUCUGAAAAACAAGACCAAGACAACAGAAACACAGCAAAAGCCCGAAAGGAAGCCAAAAGAUCAGCAAAGGCAGGAUGGGAUGUGACGCUCUCAAAUGAGGGUGGUGACAAGGAAGACUUUCUCUUCACUUAAAAAAAUCAUCCCGGUGUAAACAUCUGACCAGUGGAGUGGAGGAAAUCGUGUAUCGACAAAAUCCGUGCAGUUCCUCCAACUUCAAAGGUGAACUCCCUUUGGACGCCCCUCGGAGACGUUACGUCACAUUUGUGAUGCAUGAGGAGUCGUUUUCAAGUGGGGGUUCACGCGGGACCACCUACCUACUCCCACAGAAGUAUCCAGAGUGAUGCACACCUUGCAAAGUGGAAAGUGACUUUUCCCUGAGGGACCCAAUAUAACGCUCACACUAAAGCCUCUGACAAUGGAAAGGAUUUGAGGUUGACUGUCAAGUAUAAGUGAAGGCCCAAGUUGGGGUCCGGCCUGCGGGUCAGAUCUCACCAUAGAUGGCAAAGAAGAAUCGAGUAAAGCAAAUAAGUCCUUCUGGGAGUUUCCUGGCUCAGGUAGAAGCUGUGGCUUCUGCGGGAAAUCCACACGGGCACUUGUAAAAUACAACAUUCCCAAAGCCAAAUCUUAGACGAAAACGGCCCUGCUCAGGCCCUCUUCACACCGAACAUCCGGUAACACCUGACAAGAAGGAAUGCUUUGAUUCAUUUUCAAGUUCACUAGAGUAUGGCAGCCAUUUGUGUAGACUGCACAAGUGUCAUAAAAUUACCCUCACACAAUCAUUCCUUGUGAGUUAGUCGUGAUAACUGCCACUUUGCACAGUCGAAAUAAAUUGAACAGCUAAUUUCCAGUGCACGCUCGCUUUGGCCCUUCAACAGUCAUAUACUAUCCUAAAAUGUUCAUCAGGACACUCAGUAAGGCAGAUAAACAUGUCAUACAAUUACUAUUAUGUGACUGUCCUUCAUCUGUAAAGCAUAUUAACCACCGAUUUGCCUAACAUAAAUCCACAGAACAACCGUGAGAAAUGAUUCCCACUCCAAAAACGUGCACAUUACAUUUGGUCUGGUAUGUACACCCUUUACGCAAUUUAUUAGAAGUUUCAUUGUAAGGUUAUCAUAAGAACCUACGCCAUUUACAAUAGAAAUUAACAGGACAACUAGUAGACAUAAUUCCCCAAAAAUCCACAGCAUUCUCUAUCAGGUGUUAUACUAUUACUGUUAUGCAAUUGUCUUUUGACAUUUAAUCAUGUUUACCACAUGAACAUAACUAACCUGGAGUGCAAAAAAGUUACUGGCACACUUAUAAACAUACGUAUGUGUCAUAGGGCAAAUCCUUCGCUGUCACUUAUUCAUGAUCACGAGAAAUUUACCAAAUUUUGCCCAUCUGUCCUUCGUCAUUGAUCUGGGCAAACCGUCUGUCACCAUUAUUCAUGAUGUAAUCAUCCAUUCGUCCGUCUGGCUUUGGUAUUUCGAAAGCAUUUCUGUAACCAGUCAGUUUAUCUGUCCUAAAAUUAAAGUAAAAGGAAAGAAAAGUUAUGGUCAAACAGAUAAGAAAUCAUAUUUGAUUAAAAUGGUGGAGUACAUAAAUAAACACAAUAACGAGUAGAAAUAAUUCAAAGGCCACAAACCCUACAGCGAGAACAGUCUGGCAUACACGCCUGUCACUCGAUUAUUGUAACAUGUUCAACUGUCAACGGAUUCAAAUUAACGUCCAUCAUGCACAACAGAAUUUAACAGUGAGAAAAAAAAGGUCCAUCAUAUGCGUGGUCAGGCAUGUGUACACCUCAUAAAAUUACUGUAAGUUACUCAUUUCUUGCAAGUUAUUCAUGAUAACUGAAAAAAAAAGAAAACAAGUCCAUCUUACGCGUCAGGCAUGUGGACACCUCAUACAAUUACUUUAAGUCAUUCAUUCUUUGUUAUGCAUAACUGCCACCUUGAAUAAUAGAUAUUACCAGAACAACUAGUAAAAUUGUCCACAGU